CCAAAUUUUAAAGGUGCCUAGUUUAACUAGGAUACCUCGGUAUUGAAAUAUAUACCACAUUUACCUUGUGUGCAAUGUAAUUGUAUUGAUGGAUUUUUCAUCUGGGUUUUUAAUUUGGAUGGAAAAUCUGUAUAAACAUUUUAAUAUUUUAAGUCUGAUAGUUUUUUUACAUAUUGAUAUUUUAUGAAAGUAAAAUAUUUAAAAUGUUAAAA
This 212-nucleotide unclassified non-coding RNA is filed under the name uncultured Chytridiomycota. RNAcentral describes it as "sequence contains ITS1". Lineage: Eukaryota; Fungi; Chytridiomycota. The record is from RNAcentral.